GUAACACGUUUCCCGUAGGUGAACCUGCGGAAGGAUCAUUA
Molecule: ribosomal RNA, 41 nt
Filed under: Tricholoma caligatum
Lineage: Eukaryota; Fungi; Basidiomycota; Agaricomycetes; Agaricales; Tricholomataceae
Description: partial 18S ribosomal RNA
Source: RNAcentral